CAAUAGCGUAUAUUAAAGUUGUUGCGGUAAAAAAGCUCGUAGUUGGAUUUCCACCGAAGAUAGCCGGUCGGGUCUUCGACCUUGUAUCUGGUUUUGUCUUUGGUAUCCUCAUAGGGAACGUUUCUGCGCUUUAUUGCGUGGUGCGGUAUCUAUGACUUUUACUUUGAGGAAAUUAGAGUGUUCACGGCAGGCAAACGCCUUGAAUAUAUUAGCAUGGAAUAAUAACAUAGGAUCUUCGUCCUAUUUUGUUGGUUUCUAGGGCUAAGAUAAUGAUUAAUAGGGAUAAUUGGGGGCAUCUGUAUCAACGCGUCAGAGGUGGAAUUCUUGGAUUGCGUUGCGACAAACUACUGCGAAAGCAUUUGCCAAGGAUGUUUUCAUUGA
Molecule: ribosomal RNA, 381 nt
Filed under: uncultured eukaryote
Lineage: Eukaryota
Description: partial 18S ribosomal RNA
Rfam family: Eukaryotic small subunit ribosomal RNA
Source: RNAcentral